Molecule: ribosomal RNA, 448 nt
Filed under: uncultured bacterium
Lineage: Bacteria
Description: bacterial SSU rRNA
Rfam family: Bacterial small subunit ribosomal RNA
Source: RNAcentral
UGGGGAAUAUUGGACAAUGGGCGCAAGCCUGAUCCAGCCAUGCCGCGUGAGUGAUGAAGGCCUUAGGGUUGUAAUGCUCUUUUUGGCGGGGACGAUAAUGACGGUACCCGCAGAAUAAGCCCCGGCUAACUUCGUGCCAGCAGCCGCGGUAAUACGAAGGGAGCUAGCGUUGUUCGGAAUCACUGGGCGUAAAGCGCACGUAGGCGGAUUAUUAAGUCAGGGGUGAAAUCCCGGGGCUCAACCUCGGAACUGCCUCUGAUACUGAUAGUCUCGAGUCCGGAAGAGGUGGGUGGAAUUCCUAGUGUAGAGGUGAAAUUCGUAGAUAUUAGGAAGAACACCGGUGGCGAAGGCGGCCCACUGGUCCGGUACUGACGCUGAGGUGCGAAAGCGUGGGGAGCAAACAGGAUUAGAUACCCCGGUAGUCCCUGAGCGGGCUGGCAAGGCGCAU